This 503-nucleotide ribosomal RNA is filed under the name uncultured bacterium. Its description in RNAcentral is "bacterial SSU rRNA". It matches the Rfam family "Bacterial small subunit ribosomal RNA", at positions 15 to 507 of the family's 1533-position model. The record is from RNAcentral.
GAUCAUGGCUCAGGAUGAACGCUAGCUACAGGCUUAACACAUGCAAGUCGAGGGGCAGCAUGAACUUAGCUUGCUAAGUUUGAUGGCGACCGGCGCACGGGUGAGUAACACGUAUCCAACCUUCCGUUUACUCAGGGAUAGCCUUUCGAAAGAAAGAUUAAUACCUGAUAGUAUGGUGAGAUUGCAUGAUAACACCAUUAAAGAUUUAUUGGUAAACGAUGGGGAUGCGUUCCAUUAGGUAGUAGGCGGGGUAACGGCCCACCUAGCCUGCGAUGGAUAGGGGUUCUGAGAGGAAGGUCCCCCACAUUGGAACUGAGACACGGUCCAAACUCCUACGGGAGGCAGCAGUGAGGAAUAUUGGUCAAUGGGCGAGAGCCUGAACCAGCCAAGUAGCGUGAAGGAUGAAGGUCCUACGGAUUGUAAACUUCUUUUAUACGGGAAUAAAGUUUCCUACGUGUAGGAUUUUGUAUGUACCGUAUGAAUAAGCAUCGGCUAACUCCGUG